Molecule: ribosomal RNA, 758 nt
Filed under: uncultured Prevotella sp.
Lineage: Bacteria; Pseudomonadati; Bacteroidota; Bacteroidia; Bacteroidales; Prevotellaceae
Description: bacterial SSU rRNA
Rfam family: Bacterial small subunit ribosomal RNA
Source: RNAcentral
GAUGAACGCUAGCUACAGGCUUAACACAUGCAAGUCGAGGGGCAGCAUGGAAGAAGCUUGCUUCUUCUGAUGGCGACCGGCGCACGGGUGCGUAACGCGUAUCAAACCUGCCUCAUACUCGGGGAUAGCCUUGCGAAAGUAAGAUUAAUACCCGAUGUUGUUAUGUUACCGCAUGGUGAUAUAACCAAAGAUUUAUCGGUAUGAGAUGGUGAUGCGUCCGAUUAGGUAGUAGGCGGGGUAACGGCCCACCUAGCCUUCGAUCGGUAGGGGUUCUGAGAGGAAGGUCCCCCACACUGGAACUGAGACACGGUCCAGACUCCUACGGGAGGCAGCAGUGAGGAAUAUUGGUCAAUGGGCGAGAGCCUGAACCAGCCAAGUAGCGUGCAGGAUGACGGCCCUCCGGGUUGUAAACUGCUUUUAGUUGGGAAUAAAAAAAGGGACUUGUCCCUUCUUGUAUGUACCCUCAGAAAAAGGACCGGCUAAUUCCGUGCCAGCAGCCGCGGUAAUACGGAAGGUCCAGGCGUUAUCCGGAUUUAUUGGGUUUAAAGGGAGCGUAGGCGGAUUGUUAAGUCAGCGGUUAAAGGGUGUGGCUCAACCAUGCAUUGCCGUUGAAACUGGCGAUCUUGAGUGCAGACAGGGAUGCCGGAAUUCGUGGUGUAGCGGUGAAAUGCUUAGAUAUCACGAAGAACUCCGAUUGCGAAGGCAGGUGUCCGGGCUGCAACUGACGCUGAGGCUCGAAAGUGUGGGUAUCAAACAGG